CAGGAUGACGCAGUUCCACUUGCUGGACCCUCACUACGACGAGCACCACAGGGGCCGUCUCACCGCAGAGGGAGAGUUUCUAGAGGAGAUGACGUACGAUGAUAGGUACACUCCUCUCCUAGAGAGGGCUGGCUUGGACGUCGUAUAGUUCUAGGUUCGCCGUGGACUGCCCACUUUCAACCCAGCGGCGUUGACGACUCUGGUCGACAGGUGGCGGCCAGAGACUCACACUUUCCACCUUCCCUGCGGUGAGAUGACCGUGACGCUGGAAGAUUGGCAGAAGAUUAUUGGUCUCAGCAUUAUGGGUCGUCCAGUGACCAGUCAGGCAGCACCAGGUGGUUGGAGGCAGAUGGUAGAGGCCUUCCUUGGGAGACUGCUUCCUGAUGACCUACGAGGUAGCCACAACACCAGAGUCCCACUCACCUGGCUUAGGCAGGCUUUUGGGGAGUGUCCACCUGGUGCAGACGAGCAGACGAUUGGCUACCAUUGUCGAGCUUGGAUUCUCCACCUAUUUGGUUCAGUUCUUUUUCCAGACGCGACAGGCGACAACGCGUCAUGGAUGUUUCUGCCCUGCCUGACUGACUGGGAUAUGACAGGAGGUUACAGCUGGGCUUCUGCAGUGUUGGCCUUCCUCUAUAGGCAACUUUGCGAGGCUUGUCGUCGUUCAUCGAGGACCGCUAGCUUAGGUGGGUGUGUCUACCUACUACAGCUGUGGAUGUGGGCACACAUACCCGUCGAUCGACCUAGAGAGUUUGCUCCUCGUCAGUGGUUCGUGGUAGCCAGACAUCGGCUUAAACCCACGGCUGCCUACCGCUGGGACUAGGUCGAGGAGCCAUUCGCACGACACAAGCGUGCGUACGUGGAGUACUCAAACGAGCUCGACGCACUUACUCCUUCGAUGGUGACCUGGCAACCGUAUCUUGAUCCAUAUUUUGCCAGCAUACAAUUGAGCAGCGUGUGCUCAAUAGACGAGAACAUCUACCUAAUGAGGUGUCCCCUCAUUUGUUUUUAUGCUGUUGAGUACCACUUGCCCACAGAGUUGCUCGAUAUUUUGGAUUGCGACAGGAGUUUUUGGUCGAGCCGUUCUCGACUUCAAUACAACUUCACAAGUUCGAUAGACAGAGGCAGAAGAAGGUCACAGACUUCGAGACCCACCACCGUGAUUAUAUUGAUGAAUGAGAUCAGCAGAGGGAUCUAAACUAUGUCAACGACCAGCCGCACACAAACUACAACUUCAGAAGGUAUUUGAUUUGGUAUGUUAGUGUGACUAGGUGCAAGCUUAAGGGACAGUGGACAACUGCUGACUAUGCGGAGCAAGAAUCGUCAGACGACGAAGACACUUUGUUCAACAAAGCGGCUCAGCUAGGGUCCCACAUUGAGGCUGAUCCAAUCCUUGACAGAGUGGGAAACUCUAUGCUCGUAUCUGUUAUUGAACUUGAGCAUAUCUCACAGAGAACUUCAGACAGUACUACGCUUUUGUUACUAUCAAGGGUAUCACGUCGUCUUCGUCAUGCAGCGGCUCGUUGUGGAUGCCGGUCUCUGGCGAGCGUUGACAUGCAGCUGCCUGUGCCUCCUAUGCAGCCGGACGUUUAGCGUUCCAUUUCUGCAGUUGGACCAUCUACAGCUGGACUGAGCUCCUCACAAUUGACGCGGGAUACGUUUCAAGACGUGCACCACGACGACGACGACGACGACGAUGACGCUGGCGCCGCAGGUCAGGAGGAGAUUGGACCAUCACAGCUGCAGGAUGCUCCUACAACUCAGCUAUCACAACUGACACCACGUAGAAGGUGUCCACGUGACCCUUACACUCCAGGCACCGACGCUCUUGGGGCCAAGGGCAAGGGUAAGACUAGGAGGAAAUGAAAACUACGUGAUGUGGUCUUAUGCUAAAAACUUUGUGAUAUGGACUCAUGAUAAAAACUUUGUGAUGUGAACGAUGUAUUUUGGACUAUGUUAUGUGGACAUUGUAUUAAGCACUAUGUCAUGUGGAUUUUGUCAUAUUCUCUGUUUUUUUGUGAUUUAUUGUAUGUUGAAAUAUGGUGAUGUCUUAUAAUAUGUGAUUAUUAUAACUAUGGUUGUUAAUAAAACAA
This is a long non-coding RNA of Zea mays, 2093 nucleotides long. RefSeq lists it as uncharacterized. The record is from RefSeq and is a predicted model, not a curated record. The transcript has 7 exons. Lineage: Eukaryota; Viridiplantae; Streptophyta; Magnoliopsida; Poales; Poaceae.